CCUACGGGUGGCAGCAGUGAGGAAUAUUGGUCAAUGGGCGCGAGCCUGAACCAGCCAAGUAGCGUGAAGGAUGACUGCCCUACGGGUUGUAAACUUCUUUUAUAAAGGAAUAAAGUGAGCCACGUGUGCCUUUUUGUAUGUACUUUAUGAAUAAGCAUCGGCUAAUUCCGUGCCAGCAGCCGCGGUAAUACGGAGGAUGCGAGCGUUAUCCGGAUUUAUUGGGGUUAAAGGGAGCGUAGAUGGGUUGUUAAGUCAGUUGUGAAAGUUUGCGGCUCAACCGUAAAAUUGCAGUUGAUACUGGCAGCCUUGAGUACAGUGAAGGUAGGUGGAAUUCGUGGUGUAGCGGUGAAAUGCUUAGAUAUCACGAAGAACUCCGAUUGCGAAGGCAGUCUACCAAA
Molecule: ribosomal RNA, 398 nt
Filed under: uncultured bacterium
Lineage: Bacteria
Description: partial 16S ribosomal RNA
Rfam family: Bacterial small subunit ribosomal RNA
Source: RNAcentral